Molecule: ribosomal RNA, 305 nt
Filed under: uncultured bacterium
Lineage: Bacteria
Description: bacterial SSU rRNA
Rfam family: Bacterial small subunit ribosomal RNA
Source: RNAcentral
GCCUACGGGGGGCAGCAGUGAGGAAUAUUGGUCAAUGGUCGGGAGACUGAACCAGCCAAGCCGCGUGAGGGAGGAAGGUACAGAGUAUCGUAAACCUCUUUUGUCAGGGAACAAAGGCGGGGACGUGUCCCCGGAUGAGUGUACCUGAAGAAAAAGCAUCGGCUAACUCCGUGCCAGCAGCCGCGGUAAUACGGAGGAUGCGAGCGUUAUCCGGAUUUAUUGGGUUUAAAGGGUGCGCAGGCGGUCUGUUAAGUCAGCGGUCAAAGCCAGGGGCUCAACCCCGGCCCGCCGCUGAAACUGGCAGU